Molecule: RNA transcript, 3835 nt
Organism: Malus domestica (apple)
Lineage: Eukaryota; Viridiplantae; Streptophyta; Magnoliopsida; Rosales; Rosaceae
Gene name: protein FAR1-RELATED SEQUENCE 5
Source: RefSeq, a predicted model, not a curated record
GGAUGACCUAGUUGAUCGAAACCCCAGGAACUGGGUAAGAAUAGUAUACGAACAGCCUACCCACCCAUCUCAAGCUCCCGUCCCUCUUUCGCCUUCACCAUCUCUCCCAAUUUUUUAAUCAUUUUUUCCCAAAUUUUCCUUCAAUUCAAUCGAUUUGAAUCCAAAACCCUAAACCCAAUCCCCAAUUCCACUCAAAUUUGAACCGGAUUCUAGGGUUUCUCUGCCAUUCUGAAAACCCUAAUUAAAACUUGCCAUUUUUGUCUCUCACUCCAUUGGCUAGAGCUAAAGGUUGAAUAUUGCUGAAGAUCCACCAGAGCUCACUUUCUCAGCAGUACACGACUAUGUGAAAGUCUCACUCUUUCAGGAAUACAGCACUGUCAGUGUGAGGUUGGGGGCUUGAGAUAAUUCUAUUGGAAUUGAUCUGAAACAGUUUGAAACUUUGACAUGGAUAACGAGGUGAUUGAAUUUGAUAUUGGGUUGGGAGGAGGGGGAGGCCGAGAUGGGGACGAUGAUUUUGUAGACAUUGAGCAUCCUGUUGAUGAUGAGGAAAUGGUUGAUAGUCCUCUUAUGGGAAGUGCCACUGGCAGUGGCAGUGGUAUUGUUUUCGGUGGUGGUGAAAUUUACUUGCCUGAGGGGGAUCUCUUGGACCUUGAGCCAUAUGAUGGCAUGGAAUUUGAGUCUGAAGAGGCUGCCAAGGCCUUUUACAAUUCGUAUGCGCGGCGUGUUGGGUUCAGUACUCGUGUCAGUUCCUCACGUCGUUCCAGGCGCGAUGGAGCAAUCAUACAGAGGCAGUUUGUUUGUGCUAAAGAGGGUUUCCGGAAUUUGAAUGAGAAGCGCACCAAGGAUAGGGAGAUCAAGCGCCCUCGGACUAUCACUAGAGUAGGGUGCAAAGCAUCCUUUUCUGUGAAGAUGCAAGAUUCGGGAAGAUGGGUGGUGUCUGGUUUUGUUAAGGAGCAUAAUCAUGAGUUGGUUCCGCCUGAUCAGGUGCAUUGUCUUCGUUCUCACAGGCAAAUAUCCGGUCCUGCUAAGACUUUGAUUGAUACCUUGCAGGCUGCUGGAAUGGGCCCCAGGAGGAUUAUGUCAGCGCUGAUUAAGGAAUAUGGUGGGAUAAGCAAAGUCGGAUUUACAGAGGUAGACUGUAGGAAUUACAUGAGGAAUAAUCGCCAGAAGAGCUUAGAUGGGGACAUUCAGAUGCUUUUGGAUUACUUGAGACAAAUGCAAGCUGAUAACCAGAACUUUUUCUAUGCCGUGCGGGGCGAUGACGAUAAGUCCAUGGGAAAUGUCAUUUGGGCUGAUCCAAAGGCAAGGAUCAACUAUAGUUACUUUGGUGAUACUGUUACUUUUGACACUACCUACAGGUCUAACAGGUACCGCUUGCCCUUUGCACCUUUCACAGGGGUGAACCAUCACGGACAGCCUGUUUUGUUUGGUUGUGCCUUUCUGAUAAAUGAAUCUGAAGCAUCAUUCGUUUGGCUGUUCAAAACAUGGCUUAUGGCAAUGUCAGGCUGCCCCCCAGUGUCAAUUACCACUGAUCAUGAUCCCGUGAUACAGUCAGCCAUCAAGCAGGUUUUCCCACAGACCCGGCACCGUUUCUGCAAAUGGCACGUCUUUAAGAAAUGCCAGGAGAAGCUAUCCCAUGUGUUUCUUAAACAUCCAACUUUUGAAGCAGACUUUCACAAGUGUGUUAAUUUGACUGAGUCCAUAGAAGAAUUUGAGUCUUACUGGUUGUCUCUUGUUGAUAAAUACAGUCUCAGAGAUCAUGAAUGGAUUCAAAUGGUAUACUCUGCUCGCAGGCAGUGGGUCCCUGUUUAUCUGCGGGACACUUUUUUUGCAGAAAUGUCCAUUACCCAAAGAAGUGACAGUAUGAACUCAUAUUUUGAUGGAUAUGUGAAUGCUUCAACAAAUUUGAGCCAAUUCUUUAAGCUUUAUGAGAAAGCUCUAGAGAGUCGAAAUGAGAAGGAAGUGAAAGCAGACUUUGAAACUAUGAACACUGCCCCGGUUUUGAAAACCCCAUCUCCAAUGGAAAAGCAAGUAUCUGAGCUUUACACAAAAAAGAUAUUUAUGAGGUUUCAAGAGGAGCUAGUUGGAACACUAACUUUCACGGCAUCUAAGGGUGAUGAUGAUGGGGAGAUCAUCACAUAUCAAGUAGCAAAGUUUGGGGAAGACCAUAAAGCAUAUUAUGUUAAGCUCAAUGUUUUGGAGAUGAUGGCAACUUGUAGUUGCCAGAUGUUUGAGUUUUCUGGUCUUCUUUGCAGACAUGUAUUGGCAGUCUUUAGAGUGACCAAUGUGCUGACGCUCCCAUCCCAUUACAUAUUGAAACGAUGGACUAGAAAUGCCAAGAGCAACGUCAUGUUAGAAGAACGUUCUAGUGAUGUAUAUACCAAUUAUCUAGAAUCUCAUACUGUGCGGUACAAUACCCUACGUCAUGAGGCUUUUAAAUUUGUAGAUGGAGCAAGGUCUUCAGAAACUUAUGACAUCGCAGUGGAAGCUUUGAAGGAAGCUGCAAAAAAAGUAGCUCAUGCCAUAAAGAAUGAGGGGAAAGCCAUGCUCAAUGGGCAUGUCAGGGGGAGUUUGGCUGGUGGAGCAAGUCGGGCAGCACGUUGUGCUAGUGGGGAUCAUGAAGGAAGCUCUGGACAACAUUUGUCUGAGGAUGACAUGGACAAAAAAAUCCGAGAACUUACGAACGAGCUGGAGUGCGCAAAGCGGAAAUGUGAAGUUUACCGGGCUAACCUGCGUUCAGUUUUGAAAGAUAUAGAGGAUCAUAAGUUACAGUUGUCAAUUAAAGUACAAAACAUUAAAAUUGGCAUGAAAGACGGCCUAAUCCUAUAAAGUCAGCAACGGUAACUUUGUAGGAGGAAAAAAUCGUUGUAUGAAGGGUUGCACAAGAAGACAGAUAUCAGAGCUGAAAGGUUCAUCAGGGUAUGGAAAUGCUUUGGUAGCUUUUUUUUCAUUGUGUGUGUGUAUAUAUACUCUCUCAUUUGUCUAUUGGUUGCAGUCGAAGGUAAUAAUAACAUGUUAUUUUCUGUGCCGUCGAAUAACACCUUCAAUUUUAAGUUUUCAUAUAAGCUUGUAGGGAAAUUCAUCCUUGAGUUGACAAGUCAUCUUCUACUCAUCCUUGCAAAUUGGCUGUGAACAGAAUCCAUUGACCGCAGUUUCUGUUAGAAAGCUAUCACCUUUCUUUCGCAUUGAGAGCAGUACGGUGCAGUAUGACACCGAAACUGAAAGCUUGAGUUCGGGUGGCUGGGAAAGUGAGGAUGGAAUGUUAUGUUCUUCCAUCCUAAAAACAACCAAGUGUUACUCCAACCGAGUUCGAGCAUUGUUGGAGGAGCCUCGAGGGGGUUCGAACAAUGUUCGAUGGGAGAACUUUUGGUAAAGGCGUUAUUUGGUCGGGCAAGUGGGGUAAGUUACUAAAAAGUUGUCACGUUGACACGAGUGAUGUCGGAUGAAGAAGGUUUGACACACCUAAAAGGUGACGAAGUUAUUUUAUGCAUGAUGACUCGAGAGACAAAAUAUUACAGGUUAAUUCUUUAAACAAGAAAGAAAAGAAAAACACAAAUUUCUAUUGGGAAUUCGGCAUAACCUUCCCGGUUUUAAUACAAAUUACCUUACUUUACCCUGCAAGAAAAUAACAAAUCGUGGUCUAGUGUGUAACCCGAGCCCACCUAUGGCUCCACCCGUGGUGGUACAGUUUAGGUCGUGCCGCGUGGACAAGUUCAGCCCCAAGAUGGGGCAAUGGAUGGUUCUCGUCGGAUCUUUUUUGUGAAAAUUUUGUAAAUCUUUAAAUUACAUUCGUUUAUUGCACAUUAGGCAGUUAGAAAUUAUUAUAAUUUUUUUA